RNAcentral lists this long non-coding RNA (296 nucleotides) under Solanum lycopersicum (tomato). RNAcentral describes it as "partial TCONS_00156005". Lineage: Eukaryota; Viridiplantae; Streptophyta; Magnoliopsida; Solanales; Solanaceae. The record is from RNAcentral.
CUCCACCAUAGUUUCUGGGAGGCCCUCCACCAUAGUUAGGCGGUGGCCCUCCCAUGCCAGGCUGGUGCAUCCCGCCCAUGUUGGGCUGCUGUUGCUGGUGCAUACCUCCCAUGUUAGGUUGCUGCUGCUGCAUUCCGCCCAUGUUAGGGGGUGGAGCAUUUCUCAUAUUGGGAGGUCCACCACCCAUACUGGAUCCAGGGUUCUGCAUCUCUCUUCUUCUCUCAAAAUUUCUGGAUCUAUCAAAGUUACGAGGUCGGUCAUUACGUCUGUUUCUCUCAUUAGCUCGGGCAUUGUUC